AACGAACGCUGGCGGCAUGCCUAACACAUGCAAGUCGAACGAGACCUUCGGGUCUAGUGGCGCACGGGUGCGUAACGCGUGGGAACCUGCCCUUAGGUUCGGAAUAACUCCCCGAAAGGGGUGCUAAUACCGGAUAAUGUCUUCGGACCAAAGAUUUAUCGCCUUUGGAUGGGCCCGCGUUGGAUUAGCUAGUUGGUAGGGUAAAAGCCUACCAAGGCGACGAUCCAUAGCUGGUCUGAGAGGAUGAUCAGCCACACUGGGACUGAGACACGGCCCAGACUCCUACGGGAGGCAGCAGUGGGGAAUAUUGGACAAUGGGCGGAAGCCUGAUCCAGCAAUGCCGCGUGAGUGAUGAAGGCCUUAGGGUUGGAAAGCUCUUUUACCCGGGAUGAUAAUGACAGUACCGGGAGAAUAAGCUCCGGCUAACUCCGUG
RNAcentral lists this ribosomal RNA (433 nucleotides) under uncultured bacterium. Its description in RNAcentral is "partial 16S ribosomal RNA". It matches the Rfam family "Bacterial small subunit ribosomal RNA", at positions 29 to 507 of the family's 1533-position model. The record is from RNAcentral.